AUAUUAUUUAUGUCACUAUGUUCGUCUUUAUAUUGUCUUUAUCGGCUCAUACAUAUAUCGACAUAAUAAUAUGUAUAUUAUUUAACGUUUUCGUUCAAAGUCUGACAAUCUCCAGCGUUGUUUUUUACAUCCUCACAUCUUUGAUGACAACUUGCUACUAAAUGGUCCAUCCAGGUAUGUUGGAGUAGCCGGAUGAAAUCUUUUGUUGACGUUAAAUACUUUCUUGAUAAUUUGGCUUUCAUUAAAGCCCAAACAUUCUAUAUUGGAUUGGCGUCUGCUAACUGUGAUGGCCAAUCUAAAGUAACAUUAUGGUUUCUUGAGUACAUAGUCUACUUCUAUGCUGACUUCAGCAAAUCCUUUUUAUAGAAUUGUAUCAUAAUCAACGUAGCGGGUUUUUCAAUGUCUGCCUUUGAUACCAGACCUCUGAAGCUUAUCCGGUGUUGUAUUUAAAGAUAUCGGAUUAAGAAAACAUCUUUUUUUUGUUCAGUCACAAAAUAAACUUUAUUUGUUACUACUCCAAGGUUUUUUAAACCAUUUACUGCUAAUUUUUGCGAUCUAAAUCACAAAAUCUCGUCAGCAUUGUAAUCUUUUUCAGAAAUGACCUACUAGCAGCCAUUUUGUAAUCAUA
Molecule: non-coding RNA, 628 nt
Organism: Bactrocera oleae (olive fruit fly)
Lineage: Eukaryota; Metazoa; Arthropoda; Insecta; Diptera; Tephritidae
Source: RefSeq, a predicted model, not a curated record